This 246-nucleotide ribosomal RNA is filed under the name uncultured bacterium. RNAcentral's name for it is "partial 16S ribosomal RNA". It matches the Rfam family "Bacterial small subunit ribosomal RNA", at positions 355 to 593 of the family's 1533-position model. The record is from RNAcentral.
UAGGGAAUCUUCCACAAUGGAUGAAAGUCUGAUGGAGCAACGCCGCGUGAGUGAAGAAGGUUUUCGGAUCGUAAAGCUCUGUUGUUGGUGAAGAAGGAUAGAGGCAGUAACUGGUCUUUAUUUGACGGUAAUCAACCAGAAAGUCACGGCUAACUACGUGCCAGCAGCCGCGGUAAUACGUAGGUGGCAAGCGUUGUCCGGAUUUAUUGGGCGUAAAGCGAGCGCAGGCGGAAUGAUAAGUCUGAU